Molecule: unclassified non-coding RNA, 1571 nt
Filed under: Hevea brasiliensis (rubber tree)
Lineage: Eukaryota; Viridiplantae; Streptophyta; Magnoliopsida; Malpighiales; Euphorbiaceae
Source: RNAcentral
GAGAUUUAAUGCCUAAUUAAUUAUAAGUAUUAUAUAAGAACUGCAAUUUCUUGCACUCUGCAGCCAAUUUGAAAGGCUAAUCCUGAAAUUCUUUUGAAUCCAAUCAUUUAAAUUAGCAAAACUUUUCCACUAGUACAAUUUACCAAUUCCACAUUUCUACUUCUGUUGAGUCAUAAGGGUAAAACCAACAAAUAUUUUGCAUCUAGCUAGUAGCUACACCAAUAAUUCAUCUUUCUUCAUCUUCAUAUUUGUCUUCCUUGCUUAAAAUCUCACCUUCCAUCCAUAAAAUUGACAAUUUGCAAAAGUUGUGCUCUUCCUGCUCUCAUGACACUGAUCCAGAAUACAGAAAUGGUGAAAUUUUUCAAUUUUUCAUAAGCACAGUGAGAGUUUUCUGUGCUGUUAAUUUCCACUAAGUCUUCAUAUUUCUAGACUUGUAAGUUUGGUGUUGAGUCCAGUUCAUGGUAUGCAGCCUUGGACUUCAUUGCUAGUGAGGCUCUUGAAGUGGUGGAUGAGGUUUUGGGAGAGGAACUUCUAGUCUUCUUUUUCCAUUUUUGUUUCUUGGGAAUACUUGGAAGAUCUGACGAUAGAAUGUUACUGAACGAAUUGGACAAGGAUUGAUUUCCAAUAGAUUGAUCAAAAUCAUGAGAGGCCCAUGAAGAGAAAGCAAGAGAAUUAGGAUCUCUUGCAUUGCCGAGUGUUGUUGUUGCGAAAUCAGGAGGUGUUUUGAACUCAUUCAUCCAACUGGGUGCAGUACCAGAAGGGCCAUCCCAACCUAUGUGUGCCACAUGCUUGACGUCUGUUGGGUACCCAAUUUCCAUCUCUCUUUCCUUCACCACUGCAAAGAUUUGGGUUAUGUACUUGAAGCCCUUAUAGAUCCCUUUGAUCUUGGUGGCCAUGGUGGAAACAAAUGACACAGAAGAGGAGGAAAAUCCAAAAGUACGUGCAGAGAUGGUUGUUUUGCCUCUAGGGAAUGGCUGUGAUGGAGCAAAGAAAUGGGAGAUUUGAGAGAGAAACAAUAGCUUUUCUCUCUUCUUCAGGCAACUUUGCAAUGCUCUAUUCUCUAUGUUUCUUCUAUUAUUCUUGAUGAAUGCACGAACAUAAAAAUUUUCUACCUGUGAUUGAAAUGACUAGCUUAUUGAUUUGCACUAACAGAAAAAAGAGAACCCAUUAAGGUAAACCAAAAAACCUGCCAAUAUACUGAUGAGAAGAGAAGGAUCUAAAGAAGAGAUGAAAGAAGGUGGGGAGCCAUGAAAGGGAAAACAUGCCAAAGAGGGUUUUGAAAAACAAAAACAGAAAAUGGCAAGUUGAGAAUAAAAAUUAGGUGUUGGGUUUCUUGGUUGGUUAAGAGGUGCAGUAGGCCCUGACCUCAGUUCCUUUGAUGUCUUAACAAAGCCUCUUCUCUUUAAAAAAAUGGCAAGACUUUUCUUAAAAUGUGGGAGAAUUUUCAGGAGGGAGAGGCAAGAAAUUAAGAAUCAAGAGUCAUGCUUUGUGCAGUGUGUGACAUUAAAUAGAGGAACUAUAUAUGCCUGGUAAGUUGGCUUCUUCCUUCUUGGACUUAACUGUGUUUGGCU